This 1321-nucleotide long non-coding RNA is filed under the name Malus domestica (apple). RNAcentral describes it as "long non-coding RNA (MDOM_LNC013411)". The record is from RNAcentral. Lineage: Eukaryota; Viridiplantae; Streptophyta; Magnoliopsida; Rosales; Rosaceae.
AUUAGGAGUUAGGAUAUCAGAGGUAAACUAGGAGUAGCCGAAAUUGAAGAUAAGAUGAGAGAAAAUUGGUUUAGAUGGUGUGGAUGAUGCGAAAAUUAUCUUAACACACAAAUUUAACCCUCUUUUGACAAAUGUAGUACAAGUAUAAGUAGGGAUCGUUCUGGACCGGGGAUUAGGAGGGCUUGCUAAUAAUCUCUAAACUGACUCAAAAACAUAAAACUAAAUUUAAAAAAACUUAACAAGACUCACAAGACUCAAAGCAAACUUAAAAUACUCAAAACAGCUUAAAACAACCAAAUAAACUUAAACUAGACACUAGGAAUGACUUUGGACGAAAAUUGACUUUUACUCGAAUCAAAACACUUAAAAACACAAGCUAAAACAGAUUUGAAACACUUUGAAACAAGAAACUAAAAGGGGGGUUUUGAUUUGGAUGAAGUUGAAACAAACAAACAAGUAUGAAAAACUAGACAGAUUGUAAAAUAAAUUUGAGAAAUAAGAUGAUGGAUGGGAUAGAUAGAGGCUUUUUCUCCACACAUGACAAUGUAUGCAAACAACUCGAUUUCCAGUUACUACUUCAUUGAAUUAUGAAUGACAAUGCUCCAAAUUAACCGUGACAUCACUAGUUAACUCUUAGAUUUUCCUUGUUUUAUUGGAUUGGAUGACAUAAUUCGACAACCCAAAACAUUCUUCAAAAGUUCCCUACAUGACAUCAUAACAGAGAUACAAUCAAAGAUCAUUACGUUUCAUGAAAAUCAUAAGCAUUGACAAAGCACUUGCAACUAUGACAUCAUGUCACUCAUGCUAGAAUUAAACUUAACACUUGAGUACAUACUUAAUUACAGUCACCACUUACUAGUUCACAAUUAACCAAUUAAAACGAUGUUUUGAAUGUAGUAACAUGCCUUAGAGAAUUUGCUCAAUUCCUUACUAGAUACUCUCUAUUUUCACACACAUUUUCUAACUACACACCCUACACUAGUAUAUGUGAGAAGAUUGAUAUAAACACGAAAGACUAGGACUCACAUAUGUUAUAACAAAGAAAGCAAUUUUCUGGAGUUAUUAAGAAUGUUCCGAUAUGAUCUCAUGAAUGGAAUGCGACUACUUAGAUGCGAGAACCAGUGACACCAUAUGCUCAUACCAAUUUCGAACUCCACAAAUUGAAACGCACAACACUCAAGAUUGAAGUCAAGGGUUGUAACAAGGCUUGGGGGUUAUGGCUAACAAAGAAAGGAUAGGGAUAACAAACGUUCUUAAAGCGAUAGCAAGCAAAGCAAUGAAAUAGACACUUGGAAAUCACUUUAGAAUGUAGAAUCAACUU